GUGCGUAAUAUUACUGUAAACGGCCGCCCUAGCGUGAGGGUGCUAAGGUAGCGAAAUUCCUUGCCUUUUGAUUGUAGGCCUGCAUGAAUGGUUUAACGAGGGUUUAACUGUCUCUUGAUUUAAAAUUGAAAUUGUACUGAAGGUGAAGAUACCUUCAUUAAAAAGUCAGACAAAAAGACCCCGUGCAACUUUGAAAAUUAACUUUAUUCAGAAGUGAAAGAUUUUUAGGUGGGGCGCCUAGAAAGUAAAUCUAACCUUUCUGAACAUUUAGUUCUUUCCGGACUUGACCCGAUUAUAUUCGAUCAUAGGAGAAGUUACGCCGGGGAUAACAGGCUAAUCCUUUAGUAGAGCUCGUAUUGGCUAAAGGGAUUGGCACCUCGAUGUUGAAUCAGGGAUGAUAGCUUCAAGGCGUAGAGGCUUUGAGAGUAGGUCUGUUCGACCUUUAAUACCCU
Molecule: ribosomal RNA, 452 nt
Filed under: Magallana ariakensis (Suminoe oyster)
Lineage: Eukaryota; Metazoa; Mollusca; Bivalvia; Ostreida; Ostreidae
Description: partial large subunit ribosomal RNA
Rfam family: Bacterial large subunit ribosomal RNA
Source: RNAcentral